This 446-nucleotide ribosomal RNA is filed under the name uncultured bacterium. RNAcentral describes it as "partial 16S ribosomal RNA". It matches the Rfam family "Bacterial small subunit ribosomal RNA", at positions 338 to 795 of the family's 1533-position model. The record is from RNAcentral.
CCUACGGGUGGCUGCAGUCGAGAAUCAUUCACAAUGGGGGAAACCCUGAUGGUGCGACGCCGCGUGGGGGAAUGAAGUCCUUCGGAUUGUAAACCCCUGUCAUGUGGGAGCAAAUUAAAAAGAUAGUACCACACUAGGUAGAGACGGCUAACUCUGUGCCAGCAGCCGCGGUAAUACAAAGGUCUCAAGCGGUGUUCGGAAUCACUGGUCGUAAAGCGUGCGUAGGCUGUUUCGUAAGUCGUGUGUGAAAGGCGCGGGCUCAACCCGCGGACGGCACAUGAUACUGGGAGACUAGAGUAAGGGAGGGGGAACCGGAAUUCUCGGUGUAGCAGUGAAAUGCGUAGAUAUCGGGAGGAACACUCGUGGCGAAGGCGAGUUCCUGGACAUUAACUGACGCUGAGGCACGAAGGCCAGGGGAGCGAAAGGGAUUAGAUACCCGAGUAGUC